This is a long non-coding RNA of Carcharodon carcharias (great white shark), 1183 nucleotides long. RefSeq lists it as uncharacterized. The transcript is spliced from 4 exons. The record is from RefSeq and is a predicted model, not a curated record. Lineage: Eukaryota; Metazoa; Chordata; Chondrichthyes; Lamniformes; Lamnidae.
GGGGAGGCGCCAUAUUGUUAAAGUCCAGCGUUAGUUUUUUUUGUAGAGAAACCGGUCUUGGCUUUUAGUUUAUAUAUUUAAGAAAAGUAGUUUAAAGAAAAAAACAAGUCAAGUAAGAAAAAAAAUCUCGUGUAUCUAUCACAGCCCAGGUCCGGUGAAUUGUAAGGAGAAGAAUGCUCACAGUACCACUGAGUGGUUGAGGACUGGUGGAGGGCCGGCCCAUCUGGCCAUCAUUUCCAGGGUCAAGCAGGAGGUCCUCGAUCUGGAGCAGCGCCAUGCACCCAGGUGCAUCGGUGUCAGUGAGGCUGGGGUACCACGGGCAGGAACUUCCCACUCAACAAGAAGUAGUGAUGAUGUGUAUUUUGGACAGAGGUGAUGUAUUUUGCUGCACUAAUAACGACUGCCAAGGUUCCUCCGGUGCAGAUGUUGCCUUUCAUCAAGAUGGCUAGGUAUUCAGCAUUACUGGUUGGUAUCAUCUACAGGAAGAAGCAAUACAAUUAUCUAAAGCCUAUUGCUGAAGAGGAGAGGAGAACUGAGGUUGAAGGAAAAAAAGAAAUGAGAGGAGCUUGAGCGCAUUCCAAAACCAUUGCGGAAGCCAAUGAAGCCACUAUUUUGAAAUAAUUACCAUUAAAAACAGGUGAAGAGUCAGUAUGCUGUCCUCUUGGUUUGCUAGUAUGGAAUUGUCAGGUGUAAUUAUUCAGCACAAAUUUUUUGUGUGCUUUCCCAAUGAGCGACAAAAAAAAACAGCCCUAGCAAUCAAAGAAGUGACAUCAGAGGGUCAGAAAAUUGAAACCUGUACAAGCAGGGACAUUGUGUUCAUGACAUUUCUUUAAUUGGAUAAUUGAGUUUGGGGUAAAAGCCAAUGAUUGGUUAACAAGGUUCAAUAGUUUUUGAACUACAGCAAGUUAUGAGGAAGGGGUUCCAACUAACAAUCCAGUUAGGAGACUUCAGAGAGAAUUCAGGAGAUUCCCAGAGGAUGAGCUAUGGUCCAUAGCAACAGGUGCAGACACAGAGAGUCGUGACUUUAUCCAGGGCAUCAUGAAAGUAAUGUAAGGCUCAUUGUACCCUGGAAACUGCUGCUCAAAUACUGACUGUAUUAAGUCUUACGGAUGCUUAAAUAAAAUUAUAAUUGUUACCGAUGUGGAGUCAGCUUUGAACCAUUGAACAGCCAUUCCAACUGACU